Molecule: long non-coding RNA, 335 nt
Organism: Prunus mume (Japanese apricot)
Lineage: Eukaryota; Viridiplantae; Streptophyta; Magnoliopsida; Rosales; Rosaceae
Source: RefSeq, a predicted model, not a curated record
GUACUCAUAUUGGUGCUCGCUGUGUAAGGUCUGCGGAUCCAAGAGAGAUUCAAGGGAAAGGGCAAUAAACACACAAGCUCGAAGGAAAAAAAAAACAAAAAGCCUUUAGGACCCAAUCCGUGCAUCUCAUAGAUUUAUUUGACAACGAUCCUCCAGCUGAUGCAUUCACAUGACUCUUAGAUGUCGGAUUAAGCCCAUCAAAGAAAAUAUUCAUCUGUGUAUCUGAAUCAAUAUUAACAUGUGGACACUUUAUGUACAUCUCUGUAUAUCUUUCCCAUGCUUCAUGAAACUCUUCAUUAGGCUUCUGUGUGAAUGUCAAAAUCUCCCUCUUGUAA